Molecule: ribosomal RNA, 580 nt
Filed under: uncultured marine eukaryote
Lineage: Eukaryota
Description: SSU rRNA
Rfam family: Eukaryotic small subunit ribosomal RNA
Source: RNAcentral
UUGCAGUUAAAAAGCUCGUAGUUAGAUUUCGGGCCCAGGUGACCGGUCCGCCGUUUCGGUGUGCACUGGUUAGCUCGGUCUUUCUGCCGGGGACACGCUCCGUCUUAAUUGCCGGACGUGGAGUCGGCGAUGUUACUUUGAAAAAAUUAGAGUGUUCAAAGCAGGCUUACGCUCUGAAUACUAAAGCAUGGAAUAACACGAUAGGACUCCGAGCCUAUUUUGUUGGUCUUCGGGACCGGAGUAAUGAUUAAGAGGGACAGUUGGGGGCAUUCGUAUUACGGUGUCAGAGGUGAAAUUCUUGGAUUUCCGUAAGACGAACUUCUGCGAAAGCAUUUGCCAAGGAUGUUUUCAUUAAUCAAGAACGAAAGUUGGGGGCUCGAAGAUGAUCAGAUACCGUCGUAGUCUCAACCAUAAACGAUGCCGACUAGGGAUUGCAGGAUGUUAAUUCGAUGACUUCUGCAGCACCUUAAGAGAAAUCAAAGUUUUUGGGUUCCGGGGGGAGUAUGGUCGCAAGGCUGAAACUUAAAGGAAUUGAACGGAAGGGCACCACCAGGCGUGGAGCCUGCGGCUUAAUUUGACU